Molecule: ribosomal RNA, 253 nt
Filed under: uncultured bacterium
Lineage: Bacteria
Description: partial 16S ribosomal RNA
Rfam family: Bacterial small subunit ribosomal RNA
Source: RNAcentral
UACGAAGGGUGCUAGCGUUGUUCGGAAUUAUUGGGCGUAAAGCGUAUGUAGGCGGCUUUGUAAGUCGGUUGUGAAAUCCCUGGGCUUAACCUAGGAAUUGCAACCGAAACUGCUUUGCUUGAGUUCGGUAGGGGAUAGUGGAAUUCCUAGUGUAGGGGUGAAAUCCGUAGAUAUUAGGAGGAAUACCAAUGGCGAAGGCAACUAUCUGGGCCGAUACUGACGCUGAGAUACGAAAGCGUGGGGAGCAAACAGG